AUUGAACGCUGGCGGCAGGCCUAACACAUGCAAGUCGAGCGGAUGAAGGGAGCUUGCUCCUGGAUUCAGCGGCGGACGGGUGAGUAAUGCCUAGGAAUCUGCCUGGUAGUGGGGGAUAACGUCCGGAAACGGGCGCUAAUACCGCAUACGUCCUGAGGGAGAAAGUGGGGGAUCUUCGGGCCUCACGCUAUCAGAUGAGCCUAGGUCGGAUUAGCUAGUUGGUGGGGUAAAGGCCUACCAAGGCGACGAUCCGUAACUGGUCUGAGAGGAUGAUCAAUCACACUGGAACUGAGACACGGUCCAGACUCCUACGGGAGGCAGCAGUGGGGAAUAUUGGACAAUGGGCGAAAGCCUGAUCCAGCCAUGCCGCGUGUGUGAAGAAGGUCUUCGGAUUGUAAAGCACUUUAAGUUGGGAGGAAGGGCAGUAAGUUAAUACCUUGCUGUUUUGACGUUACCAACAGAAUAAGCACCGGCUAACUUCGUG
This 484-nucleotide ribosomal RNA is filed under the name uncultured bacterium. Its description in RNAcentral is "partial 16S ribosomal RNA". It matches the Rfam family "Bacterial small subunit ribosomal RNA", at positions 30 to 507 of the family's 1533-position model. The record is from RNAcentral.